RNAcentral lists this ribosomal RNA (466 nucleotides) under uncultured bacterium. RNAcentral describes it as "partial 16S ribosomal RNA". It matches the Rfam family "Bacterial small subunit ribosomal RNA", at positions 30 to 507 of the family's 1533-position model. The record is from RNAcentral.
CGAACGCUGGCGGCGUGCUUAACACAUGCAAGUCGAACGGAAAGGCCCUGCUUUUGUGGGGUGCUCGAGUGGCGAACGGGUGAGUAACACGUGAGUAACCUGCCCUUGACUUUGGGAUAACUUCAGGAAACUGGGGCUAAUACCGGAUAGGAGCUCCUGCUGCAUGGUGGGGGUUGGAAAGUUUCGGCGGUUGGGGAUGGACUCGCGGCUUAUCAGCUUGUUGGUGGGGUAGUGGCUUACCAAGGCUUUGACGGGUAGCCGGCCUGAGGGGGUGACCGGCCACAUUGGGACUGAGAUACGGCCCAGACUCCUACGGGAGGCAGCAGUGGGGAAUAUUGCACAAUGGGCGGAAGCCUGAUGCAGCAACGCCGCGUGCGGGAUGACGGCCUUCGGGUUGUAAACCGCUUUCGCCUGUGACGAAGCGUGAGUGACGGUAAUGGGUAAAGAAGCACCGGCUAACUACGUG